CCGGCAGCAGGAGGAGGAGGAGGAGGAGGAGGAGGAAGAAGAGGAGGAGGAGACGGCCUUCUUCCCUCCCGCCGCCCAGCGCGGAGGCAGGUUGAGCCGCGGCGAGGCUGGGAGGCCGGCGGCGGAGGCUCGGCGGAGUCCCGGGAGCCGAGGAGGGCUCGGAGCAGCGAGCGGCUCGGCGGCGGGGCAGGUGGCGGCAGCCGAGCGGCGCUCCAGGACUGAGAGCGGAGGCCGGGAGGAGGAGCCCGGCCUCGGCGCCUCCCCGAGCCGGCCCCCCCGGGGAGGAGAGGGGUGGGUUCGGCUCCCAGACCCCCCAGGCCGGGCGGGGAGGUGCUGCCGAGCUGUCAUCCACAAGGACCAGAAUGAAGAGCAGGGAAAGGCUGAGCCAGAGAUAACAGAAGGAAAGCACAAGGUCUUUGUGGCUGAAAAUUCAGGCAGUCACCAGGAGGAGCCCUGAUGUUAGUGGGAGUACUUGAGCCUUGGGACUCAGGGAACAUGAGAGCUGGAGUUGGAACCCUGAAUCUUUAGCUGGAAAGAUUGCUCGUCUUCACAGCAUUACAUGGAGAACACAACAGAGCAGAACGAACUCACAGAGAUGCAAUAAGUAAACAUGCCGUAAGGGUCUGAAUCAGACUGUCACUGCCAUGCUGUUGUAGGCAGAAGCACUGGUGCAGCGAGAGGCAGGACAGAGUUGGCACCCACCUCUCUGCAGCUGAUGUUGAAGUGUCUUUCACUGCAUAUGUGAACCACUGUACGGUGCCACCUGCGUGGUGCUCCCAGAGGGGGUGGAAAAGAGAGGAGGGGAACAGGAAGGAGGGAGGCUGGGAGCAGCAACAAAUUCACUGUGACCCAGCCAUGCCUCAAGCCUCCACCAAGGUGUGUGUGGCCAGGCAGAAGGGGA
RNAcentral lists this long non-coding RNA (901 nucleotides) under Anser brachyrhynchus (Pink-footed goose). RNAcentral's name for it is "lncRNA (ENSABRG00000007499.1)". The record is from RNAcentral. Lineage: Eukaryota; Metazoa; Chordata; Aves; Anseriformes; Anatidae.